RNAcentral lists this transfer RNA (95 nucleotides) under Caenorhabditis elegans. Its description in RNAcentral is "Unclassified non-coding RNA F41D9.6". Lineage: Eukaryota; Metazoa; Nematoda; Chromadorea; Rhabditida; Rhabditidae. The record is from RNAcentral.
AAAAACAAAAAAUUUUGACCCAGGCAGGGGUCGAACCUGCAAUCUUCUGAUUAGAAGUCAGACGCCUUAUCCAUUAGGCCACAAGGCCACGAUGU